This 233-nucleotide non-coding RNA is filed under the name Candidatus Hodgkinia cicadicola. The record is from RNAcentral. Lineage: Bacteria; Pseudomonadati; Pseudomonadota; Alphaproteobacteria; Hyphomicrobiales.
AGGAAAGUCUAGUCCCUUAUAAAUAAACGUAUGGUGUUGUGAAAACGAUAGCGUUAGCGCUUAGGUAAGCGGGUGGGAUCACAGGUCUUAUUUCUCUCGCAGCGAGAACGAAAGCGUUUGCCCCUCCGGAGUUUGCUUGAGGACAAGGUUUGAUAUGUUGAAUAUCGCUCGAUUUUGUCUAGAAAGAAUUGCCGCGGGGUGUUACUUCACUCAACUAAACUUGGCUUACCGCU